AUUAGGUGCUCAGUAAAGCUCCGGCGGUUUUGGAUGAGCCCGCGUCCUAUCAGGUUGUUGGUAAGGUAAUUGCUUACCAAGCCUAUGACGGGUAGCUGGUCUUAGCGGAUGACCAGCCAGACUGGGACUGCGACACGGCCCAGACUCCUACGGGAGGCAGCAACUAGGAAUCAUGCGCAAUGGACGAAAGUCUGACGCUGCGACGUCGCGUGGAGGAUUGACGGUCUUCGGAUUGUAAACUCCUUUUAUAUGGGAACAAGUUCUGAGUGUACCAUAUGAAUAAGUGCCUGCUAACCACGUGCCAGAAGCAUCGGUAAUACGUGGGGCACAAGCGUUAUCCGGGUUUACUGGGCGUAAAGAGAUGCGUAGGCGUCCCGAAAAGUUUUGUGUUAAAUCUCCCCGCUCAACGGGGAAACCGCAUGAAAAACUUUCGGGAUUGAGUCAGGUAGAGAAAGGGGGAAUUCCUGGUGGAGCGGUUAAAUGCGUUGAUAUCAGGAGGAACACCAAUGGCGAAGGCACCCUUUUGGACCUAGACUGACGCUAAGGCUCGAAAAGCGUGGGUAGCAAAACGGAUUAGAUACCCGUUGUAGUCCACGCCGUAAACG
RNAcentral lists this ribosomal RNA (605 nucleotides) under uncultured organism. Its description in RNAcentral is "bacterial SSU rRNA". It matches the Rfam family "Bacterial small subunit ribosomal RNA", at positions 189 to 808 of the family's 1533-position model. The record is from RNAcentral.